Long non-coding RNA from Mytilus californianus (California mussel), 1742 nucleotides. RefSeq lists it as uncharacterized. The record is from RefSeq and is a predicted model, not a curated record. NCBI's taxonomy places the organism in Eukaryota, Metazoa, Mollusca, Bivalvia, Mytilida, Mytilidae. The transcript has 5 exons.
CACCUUUUUUGCCGUAGGCAUCUGCUGCACAUUUUCUCAAGGAAAGAAUGGGACUUUUACAUUUAACGGUUGUAUUAGCUGUCGUCCUUGGGUACGGUUGUCAUUAUUCUGAUCAAUAUGGUGAACGCAAUAACAACUUCCGGCAUGGAGGACAAAGACGUUCUGGCAAUCAUUAUGGCCACCUUGAAUGCAUGAGAAAAUGUAAAGCUCGGAAGAUAGAUUAUUGGCAGAGGUUUUGUCCUUCGGAGCCUAUUAGAAUAUACUGUGAUGACAUAUAUUCAAUUAGAAUAAAAACUGCUAAGUAUGGAAGCUUACCAUGUCGACCGGCUAAUAUACGAUUCAAAGGAAAACUCAAAUGUCAAGUUGCUCAUGCGAAAGUUUUGGCGCACACUAAAAAAAAUUGCGAAUACAAAAAAGAAUGUACAGGACAUACCAGUAGAAAACUAUUCGGGAAAUUGCCUCUGUUCUACAAAGGUUGUGCCCACAGUCAUAAAGUUAGCUUCUAUGCUGAAUAUCAAUGCAUACCUUCAAAAACAUUUUGUGGAGCUUUUUGCAGAUGCCGGAGUGCAUCUCGAUAUAUAUCUUACGACAAAGGUAGACAACAUAGUGCUGCAUAUUGUAAACAGAACUACAAGAGAUUUAUAAAUUGGUAAAACGUCAAGACUUACUUUCCACGAAGGUGUUAUAUAGAAUAAAAUUGCUUAAAAGAGGGACGAAAGAUACCAGAGGGACAUUCAAACUCAUAGAUUGAAAACAAACUGACAACCCCAUGGCUAAAAUAAAAAGACAAACAGACAAAUAGUACAGAUGACACAACAUAGACAUGAAAGAAAACUGAAGUCUAAGAAACACGAACCCCACCAAAAACUGGGGGUGAUCUCAGGUGCUCCGGAAGGGUAAGCAGAUCCUGCUCCACAUGUGUCACCCGUCGUGUUGCUUAUGUUACUACAAAUCCGGUAAAUAGUCUAACUCGGUUGGUCACAUUCGUGAAAAGGGAAGGGUAUUGUAGUUACGACAUAAGGAACAUAUCCGAUAUCAUCUGUGAAACGGUCAUUCCAUAACGGUCAACCAACUCGUGAUGGCGUCCGUAAAAUUUACGAAGGGAUGAGUUCAACUUCACCAUUUGGAAAUCUUGUUUUAAUAGCUUCCUUGUGAGCAGCAAUCCUCUAUCAAGGAAAUCAUGAUAGGAAAUACAAGCCCGGGAAUAUCGUAUCAAUUGGGAGAUAUAUACUCCAUAUGCAGGCGCUGCUGGAAUGUUGCUACAUAGAAAUAUAAAGUUCACAAAUGGGAAGCUGAAAUCAUUUCUUUUGUCGUAAAGUUUUCUUUUCAAACGACCCUCAUUGUCAAUUUCUAGAUGUAAGUCAAGAUAUGAGGCAGACUUAACUGUAUCUGUAGUAUCCUUUAUCUCUAGUUCGAUAGGAUAGAUUCGUUCAACAUAGUCACCAAAUUUUGUAUUAUUUAGUGAGAGAACAUCAUCUAAUAGCGGAACGUAAAGUUUAAGGAUAUUUAAUUGAUGGACAGAUGUUAACGUCAAUUAUCUUUUUGGAGCAUUCCUGGUUUUUGUUGGGGUUCGAUUUGAUCAGUCUUUAGUUUUCGAUGUUGUGUUUUGCAUGUUUUGUGUACUGUUGUUUGUCUUUUCGUCGUUUUUUGUUUUUUGCCAUUGCAUUGUUAGUAUGUUUUCGACUUAUGAGUUUGAAUGUCCCUUUGGUAUCUUUCGCCUCUCUUGCUUCACAUUCGACAAA